GUGGGGAAUCUUCCGCAAUGGACGAAAGUCUGACGGAGCAACGCCGCGUGAGUGAAGAAGGUUUUCGGAUCGUAUAGCUCUUUCGUUAGGGACGAACGUGCUCUUAGUGAAUAAUGAGGAGUAAUGACGGUACCUAAAUAAGAAGCCACGGCUAACUACGUGCCAGCAGCCGCGGUAAUACGUAGGUGGCAAGCGUUGUCCGGAAUUAUUGGGCGUAAAGCGCGCGCAGGCGGGAUAUCAAGUCUGUCUUAAAAGUGCGAGGCUCAACCUCGUGAGGGGACAGAAACUGGUAUUCUUGAGUGUCGGAGAGGAAAGUGGAAUUCCAAGUGUAGCGGUGAAAUGCGUAGAGAUUUGGAAGAACACCAGUGGCGAAGGCGACUUUCUGGACGAUGUCUGACGCUGAGGCGCGAAAGCUAGGGGAGCGAACGGGAUUAGAUACCCGGGUAGUCC
This 450-nucleotide ribosomal RNA is filed under the name uncultured bacterium. RNAcentral describes it as "partial 16S ribosomal RNA". It matches the Rfam family "Bacterial small subunit ribosomal RNA", at positions 354 to 796 of the family's 1533-position model. The record is from RNAcentral.